This is a long non-coding RNA of Camelus dromedarius (Arabian camel), 655 nucleotides long. RefSeq lists it as uncharacterized. The record is from RefSeq and is a predicted model, not a curated record. The transcript has 3 exons. Lineage: Eukaryota; Metazoa; Chordata; Mammalia; Artiodactyla; Camelidae.
CCUCCAAGCCCGGAAGUGAAUGAGAGAAGGCGCGAAGCAUUCUGGGAAGACUUACGGGAGUGGGGUUGGUUGGGUCGCCGCCUGUUACCAGGGCAACCGGAGGCAGUUGACGGUUAUCAGCAGCUUGGCGCCGUUAGCCUGAGCUGAGACGCUCAGAAGUCAUUUGGGAUGAGCGAAAGGGGAAGGAGGGCCUUCUUAAGAGAAAACUGUCCUACCAGGUAUCCAGUCGUGGCGGCGGGAGCGCCUGCCCUAGGGAAUCUGGGUUACGCCCUCCAGUUCUUUGAGCCUUUCGGUGAAAUGAAAUGGCCCAGGGGCUCGUGACUGUCAUUUCUUAACUUUCCUUCCUCUCUUAGAAAAUUGAGUUGAAGAAACAGAGAGGAAGUGGACGCAGCAUGUGAAGACAAUUCUUUCAAGAAGUUUGGCUGUAAAGGGAAAGAGAAAGGUGCUGAAGACCAUAUAAGCAUGGAGAGGACAGGCCACCUUUGCUACCACAUGGAGUCUUGCCUAAAACUGAAACUGAAAAAGCCAACCUGGGAGACAGAAACCAAGUCCUGGUGACAUUAUUUGAGCCCAGAGAUCCAGACAUGCCUAAAGAGAAGCUUUACCACUGAACUUUUUAGUUAAAUGAGUCAAUAAACUCUCUUUUAUGCUUAAA